Molecule: non-coding RNA, 98 nt
Organism: Acanthosepion pharaonis
Lineage: Eukaryota; Metazoa; Mollusca; Cephalopoda; Sepiida; Sepiidae
Source: the annotation of a GenBank genome assembly
UUGAAACACUAGUUCUUGUCCGAUCACCGAACUUAAGCAACGUCAUACCUGGUUAGUACCUGGAUGGGCAAUCACUUGGGAAUACCAGGUGCUGUAAG